Molecule: ribosomal RNA, 468 nt
Filed under: uncultured bacterium
Lineage: Bacteria
Description: partial 16S ribosomal RNA
Rfam family: Bacterial small subunit ribosomal RNA
Source: RNAcentral
GACGAACGCUGGCGGCGUGCUUAACACAUGCAAGUCGAACGGAAAGGCCCUGCUUUUGUGGGGUGCUCGAGUGGCGAACGGGUGAGUAACACGUGAGUAACCUGCCCUUGACUUUGGGAUAACUUCAGGAAACUGGGGCUAAUACCUGAUAGGAGCUCCUGCUGCAUGGUGGGGGUUGGAAAGUUUCGGCGGUUGGGGAUGGACUCGCGGCUUAUCAGCUUGUUGGUGGGGUAGUGGCUUACCAAGGCUUUGACGGGUAGCCGGCCUGAGAGGGUGACCGGCCACAUUGGGACUGAGAUACGGCCCAGACUCCUACGGGAGGCAGCAGUGGGGAAUAUUGCACAAUGGGCGGAAGCCUGAUGCAGCAACGCCGCGUGCGGGAUGACGGCCUUCGGGCUGUAAACCGCUUUCGCCUGUGACGAAGCGUGAGUGACGGUAAUGGGUAAAGAAGCACCGGCUAACUACGUG